UGUGUAAUUGUAAACAUAAGAGUUAUACAGGAAAUUCAAAAACAGUUUCUUCUCUAUCUUUAUGUCAGUAUCAGUCAUGGUAUUCUACUCCAAGGUAACAUUUUGAAAUAUUAGAAAGACUUCACAGCAAGUGAGAUUCAACACAUAUUCUGAAAUGAAGAUUAAAGUGUCAAAUUAAGAGACUCUGUAAACUGUUUAGUCUUGCAAGAUCACUUCCUGCAUAGAGUGCUUUGAGGAAUAAGCAACUGUCAAUGUUUUCUGAGUUUAAAGACGUCCCAUGCUAGAUUGCUGGCUCCAGCAUGAAUAACCCCGAUGUCUUCUGCCCUCUUGGAUCCAAGAAAUGAUAGUGGGGUCAACUUGGAAGCUAGAGAGUCAUAGAGCUAAAAAUUUCCUGAAUCAAUCAUGGAAUCUUAGGAUUGGAGUCGGAGCAGUGAACUGGACCAUUUAUCUAGUCUCAUCUUCCCCUCAAUGCAAGAAUCUUUGGUUGUCAUCCUUUCCACAGAUGGAAGAGGUUGGUGUGGUGCAGUGGUAA
This 532-nucleotide long non-coding RNA is filed under the name Monodelphis domestica (gray short-tailed opossum). RNAcentral describes it as "lncRNA (ENSMODG00000033599.2)". The record is from RNAcentral. Lineage: Eukaryota; Metazoa; Chordata; Mammalia; Didelphimorphia; Didelphidae.